CCAGGGUAUAUGUAUGACUCAGGUGUGUGGUAGAGGGGAUGCUGAAUUCCCAAAGCACGUGUGCAGCAUGAAUGUCCGUGUAAAUGACACCAUCCCAAGAGGCAACUCCUCUGUAACUGACAUUGUUAGACCUUCUAGUUCUACAGCCCAUUUUGAACCACCGUAUGGUAACUAUGGUUCAACUAGUCAAACCUGUAGAACUCACAUCAGCAAGCUGCAGAAAGCUACUCCAUCUGUCCCAAAAACAUGAUACUUUUCUGUAGGGAUGUACAUAAGUCGGGUUGGUUUGGAUUUUGCAAUUACCAAACCCAUUCAGUUGUUUCGGAUUAUUAAAUUUAAAGGCCAGACCAAAUCAAUAAAAAUUGGGUUUUUCAAUCUCGGUUUUUCUCGUGUU
RNAcentral lists this long non-coding RNA (394 nucleotides) under Nicotiana benthamiana. RNAcentral's name for it is "long non-coding RNA (NBEN_LNC002594)". Lineage: Eukaryota; Viridiplantae; Streptophyta; Magnoliopsida; Solanales; Solanaceae. The record is from RNAcentral.